This is a long non-coding RNA of Fukomys damarensis (Damara mole-rat), 3515 nucleotides long. RefSeq lists it as uncharacterized. The transcript has 3 exons. NCBI's taxonomy places the organism in Eukaryota, Metazoa, Chordata, Mammalia, Rodentia, Bathyergidae. The record is from RefSeq and is a predicted model, not a curated record.
GGAUUGGUUGACAAGAUCUUGGAAGACUAAGGAAGGCAAAAGACACUGAGCAACCAGCGAGGAACUGCAGGAAGCAGCCACGACCCUUGUGACUGUCAGAAGAUGAGGAAGAAAUCUGGGUGAUCACAACCCAGAAACUUGGAGGAGGAUGAGCCCUGGGUAGCUGGCACCCAGGACGUCAGACCUCUGGGAAGGGGGUGAGUUGACACUGGUCUUGGGAAAGACCAGAAGCUGACAUUCACCUUGGAAGCAAUGUAGAGCAGUUGGCUACAGCCAGCAGUUCAAAGAAGCAAGCCUCUUCCUCCCCUCAACUCCCUCCAGCCUCCUCCAGGACCCACAUUUAGUAAAAACUAAUGGGAUUCAGUGGGGCAAAGCAGAAACAACAUUUGUAGUCACAGCCGACACCAUAUAGCCGAGCACAGAAGGUAGGUUUGGAGCCAAGCAGAGAGAAUUUAAUGACUAACCAGAGACUUUGAGUGCACGUACAGCGCAAGCGUCUACAGACCUGAAGCUACCUUCUCUGAGCCAGUGGGACCAGGCGAAUACAGUGGCCUACAAGUCCAUUUGCUCUGAUUACUCCCUGCAACGCUUUGAGGGCCAGAAGCAAGAGCAGAAGAAGAGGUCCAUACAUCACGAUCCUAAUUCUGCACAGUUCCAAGUCAAGCCAAGCAACUGCCAAAGAGCAAGUUCCAACCUCCACUCUUGACAACCUGGAAGUUCAGGUUCAAACUAAGAGUCGCUUGAGUCCUUGGCAUGCUGUGCCAGAAGCUGAUGGCAUUGACAGCCAGGCUGCAGCCUAAGUCCCUUCUCACCUUUCCAGCCCCGUCCCAUCUAAAACUGAGGCUCCUUGCCAGGCCCCUGUGUAAGUUCAUGUUUGCCAACCCCUGAGGGGCUGUUGCUGGAGAUGGAACCAGGCAGACUGGAUGUUAAGAGAGCAGCUGACGCAGACAGUGGGCAUCUGCUGGUCCCUGAAUGAGCACCUGGCCUCUCCAGGUCCUGCGCUGAAGCCUUGGGCCCUGACCACUUCUGCUUAGAGGCAGUUUCUUCACCCCCACAUGGGGCUCUUAUCUGUGCACCUGGCACCUCCACGAGGAAGGUAUGAGAGGCGCUGUGCACCCUGAAAUCUGCACAUCCUUCCCUUGUUUAGGCUCUGGGUGCAUAUUCAGCCUGCCCCGUGUGAGAAGAUUAUGAAGGGGCAUCCGUGCAAACACUCAGGACGUGCAGAGAUGCUGCCCCCAGCAUUAGCUUUUGAGUCCUUGAGUCUAUCUUUUCAGCAUCCCAUGCUUUCUGUCACCUGCUUCAGAUAUCAAAGUUGACAGUUUGGGGUGUGCUCUCAAAGCAACCUGGAGGGAAGGGAGACCCCGGUGCUUUCUUCUGGGAAUUAAAUGUACAAACUGGUAAGGUGGGCUUUGGGCUCACAGUUGGAGACACUCGAUGGUGUUUUCAUUUGGAUGGAGAGAGGAGGUUAUCAGAAGUUGGUUAUCAGAAGUCUGUUUGGGAGAGUUUGGGGGGGGGUCUCUGAGGGAGAGGGACUUACUCAGAAAAGAAACACUAAAUAGCAUGGCACAGGGGGUUGAGCUCUGAGGAGCAGAGAGCCAGAUCUUUAUUUGUUCCUCUUUUUAUAUCCUACACAGUGAGCUGCUACAUGUCACUAGUCACAAGCUACAUUAAUUGUUACAGAAGGUAAAACCUUACAGAGGUUAUACAUGGCAACAGUAAAUUUUGUUUCUAGAGCCAAGGUAUGGCAAGCAUAUGUCUGAAUAAACGGACUCAGGGAGCCGUUCUUUCCUUAUCUACAAGGAUCAGAGAGUACCUGGGACACUGCAAGUGCACGACUGGGAGAUCAUCCUUGAUCUCUUGCUGUCAGGACUUCCUCACAACUCCGUGAAUGCACACACAGGUCACCCAGCGGUCUCCUGCACUGAGACAAUUCCAACAGAAGAGGUCAAGUCAGGCGUCCUUUCGUACCUGCCCCGAGGCAAACACUUGCCUAGGAAAUGUGCCAAGAAUCUGGCUUCUCUUCCGGAUCAUUCUGUCCCCUGAAGAGGUGACAGCAGCCAGGGGGCGCCUAGAGUGGGAGAGUUGGCAAAGGGACAGGGGAGAAGGCCAGGAACCCCUACACAGCAGCAGGAUUGCCACCCACUGCUGACAGAGUGUCUGGUCUCAAAUUACACUGUAUCAGAGCUCUGGCAUAAAAUUAGCAGCAAUGUUCUGUGUGAGAGCAGCCAGAGAAAUCCUCAUAUUCAGCAGAACCAGGCAGGCGCAGAAGAGAAAGAAGGAAGCUGGGAGGGAAAGGGACACACCUGCGUCCCCCGCUGCAGAGGUGGCUGCCCCGCUGCUGAAUCAGGGUCACAGGAGAGCUCUUGGGGUAGAGGGGAGGUUGGGAUGAGGGGAGGCAAGAUCGGGGGAAACCUGGAGUCGUGAACUUGAGGAAUUGUCUCACCUGAAACUCACACACACACACACACACACACACACACACACUGCAAUUGAGGAACACGAAUAAGAGAAUUCCAGAGGUUUUACAUGUUUCAUACAUUUUUGGCAUUGUUUUGCCACAACCCCACUAAGUAAGCCUGUCUUUGCAGAUGAAUGAAGGAAGGUUCAAAGAGACUGCAGUGGUGUCCCCGGGACACGCCACUGAAACACACCUGUGACGAUACCCACUUCAAUUUGCAGGUGGAUAUUCUUCCUGUUCAGUGUCACCAUCAGAGGACACGGUACAAACAGGUGCGCACAUGCCUACACAUAGUAUGAGUUUAUACACACGUGUGUGUUUUCAGCUACACACAAGAUGCACUCGCAGCUUACACAAGCCCAUGUCGUGCUCAACCGCACUUCCCCGCUGAGAUGGUUCUGCCACUUCCUGUCCCUCCUGCCCGGUGCCUCCUUUCUGGUUGGCCCUGGCCAAAUGCCUGUCCCUCUCUCCACUUGCCAUGAACAGGCCUGGGCCACUGCUGCUCCAUCCGUUGGUGCCUGCUGGAGACACGGCCUGGUCUGCGUCGUAGUUGGUAUCAUCUCUAGCUCCUCAGGUGUGAAUCCCUCCACAUGCUGCAUCUGUGUGCUAUCACAUCCUUUAUGCAACUCACAGUUCCAGUCCUGAGCUCCCCGAAGCCUCGGUGACUUCAAACUAUUUUUAUGCAACAGUUCAGCUGACCAUUUCUGCACUGUGCAGGCAGCUUACACCUGGACCUUACACCGGUGCAGGUUACAGGCUUGAGGCUCUGGGAGGGUGUGGUGUCCCUCAACUCCUGUGGUGACCCCAGGCUGGCAGCAGAAUUCUGGCCCCGUCAUCGGUUCCGACACCCAGCUUCGAAUUGGGAGCUCAGGUUCACAUUCAUGACAACAGAAGGACUGGUAGCCUGAUCCCAGUGUCAAACUAGGCAUUAAAAUUUCAGCCGUUAGCGCUCUGGGAGGCAGAAGCAGGAAGACUAAAAGUUCAAGUAUAGUCUGGGUGAUUUAGUGACUUAGUGAGACCCCGUCUCAAAAUAAAAACUAAAAAAGGGCAGGGGAUG